RNAcentral lists this ribosomal RNA (434 nucleotides) under uncultured bacterium. RNAcentral's name for it is "partial 16S ribosomal RNA". It matches the Rfam family "Bacterial small subunit ribosomal RNA", at positions 29 to 507 of the family's 1533-position model. The record is from RNAcentral.
AGCGAACGCUGGCGGCAGGCCUAACACAUGCAAGUCGAACGAACCUUUCGGGGUUAGUGGCGGACGGGUGAGUAACACGUGGGAACGUGCCUUUAGGUUCGGAAUAACUCAGGGAAACUUGUGCUAAUACCGAAUGUGCCCUUCGGGGGAAAGAUUUAUCGCCUUUAGAGCGGCCCGCGUCUGAUUAGCUAGUUGGUUGAGGUAAUGGCUCACCAAGGCGACGAUCAGUAGCUGGUCUGAGAGGAUGAUCAGCCACAUUGGGACUGAGACACGGCAAAAACUCCUACGGGAGGCAGCAGUGGGGAAUCUUGCGCAAUGGGCGAAAGCCUGACGCAGCCAUGCCGCGUGAAUGAUGAAGGUCUUAGGAUUGUAAAAUUCUUUCACCGGGGACGAUAAUGACGGUACCCGGAGAAGAAGCCCCGGCUAACUUCGUG